UGUUGUGUUGUGUCAGAGCCGGCCCAUGGGAGGGAAUCGGUCUGUCAGACACCACCAUGGGUCUGGACAGUAGUGCCAGGUCUCAGACCAGGCGUGGCUGACGCUAAAGGAGGGAUCUGACAGCUGUAGAAGUGAAAAUCAUCCUGCAGUUCGUAGGACGGGAUCGGCUUUCGUCAGGCACCGCACAUGCAAUGUUCGGAGCCAGCUGGAGUUAGCCGGCCAUCAGUGGAGUACAGCGGCGUUAUUAGGCUGAAAGCUAGGAGGUGACACGGGGUGUGCAUGUGACGGACAGGAGGGCAGCUGAUCGCUGCUGCUACCACCUCUGGGCCGGGCAUUUAGACUGAAUACGGCUUGGCUGGGGCGGUGUCAAAGCAAGCUCACAAAGCAGACCCUGACGGUCAGUUCUCAAGUUAAGGCACAUGCAAGAGGUCAGUUCUGGGCGAGCUACAGGUGCCCUGGGCUUUGAUCCCACCACCCUUCUGAUGCAGAAAGGGGAUAUUAAUGCUAGCGUCUCUCUGCUUUGCAUUGAAUUCUACCACCUCUGGAGCUCCUGCACUCUCAGUUCCCGAUUAAACCACCUGCCAAAACCCAGGCCUGCCCUGAAUAAUAACCUACCAUUGCUGCCUGCUCCGUGGGAUAACACCCUCGGCAGUCGCUCCUUGGCUUCCAGAUACAUUUAGUAUGGAGAUCUCUCACUGAACAGCUGAUCUGAACCUGGUUCCACCAUCCGCCUCAGCGCCCACCUCCCAGUACUCUGCCCCAGAGAAACAGCGGUCCCACCGAGCUGCCGCUUAAAAAGAGUCACCCAGGUUCUUGUCUGCUGCCCUCCAGCAGGAGAGGAAACGGCAGCUGCAAGGAAGUCAACCUACCUACAUAACUGACAGGCGUGUGGUGGGGAGAGGCUGCUUCCUCGAGCGCAUCCUGUCUGAGACAGAGCCCAAACGCAGCCAGCCUUCCCCGGCCCUCAGACCGCCCCGGCAGUCUUCCCUCCUUCCAAGGGCACUUGCAGCCUGUUUCAUUUCGGCCCCAGGCUCUGCAGCUCUCCCAGGGAUUCAGCACUGGCAUGAACGGGGCCAGGUCCACAAGAGGCUAGAGCCCCAGCACCGCCCUGCGCUCGGCCUGAAGUGCCAGCCACCAAUCAGGGCAGGAGCUGAGGGAGAGCCACCACCAUCACGACCCCCCCCACACCUCUCAUACGUACACGAGUCAAACCGCGCCUUUCAACGUACACGACUACAUGGAGCGCCCAGCCAACGGCCGCGCUGGAAAUGUGCCCAUGUGCCAAGGGACACGCCCAUCUUCCAUAAACCGGAGCCGAGAUCCGCCGCUACCUGCAGAGACCACAAGCCCCAACGUGCAAAGACGUCCACUCACCGCGUGCAGCCCCGAGGGAGCACUGAAUACCCCAACGGGGAGUUGCUACAGGCUGCAGCUCCGUAUUGAAGCCGCAUUGUAGACUCUCUGGACACUCCCCCAAAUCACACCAACUCCCAGUCCGCUGCCCGUCUGUGCCACACCACAGGACUGUGCCCGGGCUCAGCUGGGUGUCAGGACAUCCACUUCCAGCUUUCCCCAGAUGGAGCUAGCAUGAAGUGCUGGAGGAGCACAAUUUGUCCAUGCCAGGGAGAAAACGCCUCCCGUACUGCUGGCCAUGGACACUAAGGGCCAGAUCUUUAAAGAUGUGGGGUGUCGGGCUCCCAUUGAAAUCAACGCGAGUUAGGCACCUAAAUGGCUUUAAAAGCUGGCCCUAAGUGACCAACUCAAACGAGAGCCGCUCGUUAAAAAGACAGGAGCAAUUGCCUUUAAAAGAGAUCAACUUAAAACAACACUAUGUACACAAAGAUCAGCCCAGCUGAGACGAUACACUGAGAAGAGGGGCUGGCCUGGGGCACUGGCUCUCUGUGGGGGCUCCGGAUGGCAAAUAAACAGCUCAGGGGACUGAUUGGAUACCA
This 1952-nucleotide long non-coding RNA is filed under the name Chrysemys picta bellii (western painted turtle). Its description in RNAcentral is "lncRNA (ENSCPBG00000017350.1)". Lineage: Eukaryota; Metazoa; Chordata; Testudines; Emydidae. The record is from RNAcentral.